This 209-nucleotide ribosomal RNA is filed under the name uncultured Latescibacterota bacterium. Its description in RNAcentral is "uncultured Latescibacteria bacterium partial 16S ribosomal RNA". It matches the Rfam family "Bacterial small subunit ribosomal RNA", at positions 568 to 775 of the family's 1533-position model. The record is from RNAcentral. Lineage: Bacteria; Pseudomonadati; Candidatus Latescibacterota.
CGUGUAGGCGGUCAGGUAAGUGGAAUGUGAAAUGCCCCGGGCUCACCCGGGGACCGGCAUCCCAAACUGCCUGGCUUGAGUAUGGGAGAGGAUGGAGGAAUUCCUGGUGUAGCGGUGAAAUGCGUAGAUAUCAGGAGGAACACCGGUGGCGAAGGCGUCCAUCUGGCCCAAUACUGACGCUGAGGCGCGAAAGCUAGGGGAGCAAACGG